CCUACGGGUGGCAGCAGUAAGGGAUAUUGGUCAAUGGGGGAAACCCUGAACCAGCAACGCCGCGUGAGGGAAGACGGCUUUCGGAUUGUAAACUUCUGUCCUCUGUGAAGAUGAUGACGGUAGUAGAGGAGGAAGCUCCGGCUAACUACGUCCCAGCAGCCGCGGUAAUACGUAGGGAGCGAGCGUUGUCCGGAUUUACUGGGUGGAAAGGGUGCGUAGGCGGCUUGGCAAGUCAGUAGUGAAAUCCAUGGGCUUAACCCCUGAACUGCUAUUGAAACUGUCGUGCUUGAGUGAAGUAGAGGGAGACGGAAUUCCCGGUGUAGCGGUGAAAUGCGUAGAGAUCAGGAGGAACACCAGUGGCGAAGGCGGUCUACAGGACUUUAACUGACGCUGAGGCGCGAAAGCGUGGGUAGCAAACAGGAUUAGAUACCCCGGUAGUC
This 440-nucleotide ribosomal RNA is filed under the name uncultured bacterium. Its description in RNAcentral is "partial 16S ribosomal RNA". It matches the Rfam family "Bacterial small subunit ribosomal RNA", at positions 338 to 795 of the family's 1533-position model. The record is from RNAcentral.